CCUCUCAGUGCUGGUCUCUGGUGUGCUUUUCCGCCUUUCUGACGGAGAUUACAGAGAACGAUGAUCUCGGACAAUCCAGUGGUUUUUUUUCAUAGGAAAGCGUUGGGUGGCUUUUGGAUAUGCGCAGCAAAAUGCCGAACUGUGCCAGUCAGAUGGUGUUUCUAGGAGACCAUCUAAUUUGAAAAAAAGUGGAGUUUUACUCUUUUUCUG
Non-coding RNA from Pelobates cultripes (western spadefoot toad), 210 nucleotides. Lineage: Eukaryota; Metazoa; Chordata; Amphibia; Anura; Pelobatidae. The record is from the annotation of a GenBank genome assembly.